This 378-nucleotide ribosomal RNA is filed under the name uncultured eukaryote. Its description in RNAcentral is "partial 18S ribosomal RNA". It matches the Rfam family "Eukaryotic small subunit ribosomal RNA", at positions 592 to 976 of the family's 1831-position model. The record is from RNAcentral.
CAAUAGCGUAUAUUAAAGUUGUUGCAGUUAAAAAGCUCGUAGUUGAAACUUGGGCCUGGCUGGCGGGUCCGCCUCACCGCGUGCACUCGUCCGGCCGGGCCUUCCUUCUGAAGAACCUCAUGCCCUUCACUGGGCGUGCUGGGGAAUCAGGACUUUUACUUUGAAAAAAUUAGAGUGUUCAAAGCAGGCCUUUGCUCGAAUACGUUAGCAUGGAAUAAUAAAAUAGGACGUGCGGUUCUAUUUUGUUGGUUUUUGGAAUCGCCGUAAUGAUUAAUAGGGACAGUCGGGGGCAUUAGUACUCACAUGCUAGAGGUGAAAUUCUUGGAUUUUGUGAAGACUAACUUCUGCGAAAGCAUUUGACAAGGAUGUUUNCAUUAA